Non-coding RNA from Bactrocera oleae (olive fruit fly), 788 nucleotides. The record is from RefSeq and is a predicted model, not a curated record. NCBI's taxonomy places the organism in Eukaryota, Metazoa, Arthropoda, Insecta, Diptera, Tephritidae.
AAUUACCAAGUUAAGGAGCAGGUAGCAAAGAGUUGCUUUUUACUUAAUUAUUGCCAAGCGUUCGUUUUGAACACUCUUUGUAAAGUGUGGCUUUUUUUCCUCAACGCGACUACUUUCGAUCAAUGAGCGCGAACACUUUCGACUAAAUGUAUAAAAAUUUAAUUCACGGCGUUGCACCACUUUGAUGUUGGGAGUGUAUUAAAAGGUGCUUUUGUUCUGCUAAUCGCAAUCUCACGCACAAGUGAUCCUUGAAAUCGGUACAACAGUCGCCUAGUUUAAGACAAGCGUGGUCACAAUAACAUGGUUUUUCGUUUAAGUCGUCAAUUAUUGCAUUAAUUGGUGUCUUUUGAACAACACAAGAGGAGUCACGCCCAUUGCAGCAAAGCUGUGCUUCGCGACAUGACCCUGCUGAAACUGAUUGCGGUUGCAAUAGCAAUACAGCCACAAUCAAUAAUUCCAAUAAAAGAGCUGAUAUGUGAAAACAUCGAUAGUGCAUUUUCUCAGUACGGAUGGCAGACAAUACAAAUAUGAUGCAUAUCGGAGGUAUUGCAGAAUGUAAUGUACACAUUUCCGUGAAAUUGACUAGAUAGUUUCCGUAAUGGAACCAAGUAUCCGUAAUACUGAUUGUUGUUGAAGCGACGGUGAUGUUGAAAAUUAGUUAAAGCUUAAAUAUCAUAAAAUCAAAUAAAUUAGAGACUACAAUCACGUAACAUAGUUACAUGCAACAUAUAUGCAUAUACAUAAGUUUAUACUUGAAAAUAAUAUACCCCCGUGUUGUGAACAUUUAU